Molecule: unclassified non-coding RNA, 303 nt
Filed under: plant metagenome
Description: partial contains 5.8S ribosomal RNA, internal transcribed spacer 2, and large subunit ribosomal RNA
Rfam family: 5.8S ribosomal RNA (bases 1-105)
Source: RNAcentral
GAAAUGCGAUAAGUAAUGUGAAUUGCAGAAUUCAGUGAAUCAUCGAAUCUUUGAACGCACAUUGCGCCUAUUAGUAUUCUAGUAGGCAUGCCUGUUCGAGCGUCAUUUCAACCAUCAAGCCCCCGGCUUGUGUUGGGGACCUGCGGCUGCCCGCAGGCCCUGAAAACCAGUGGCGGGCUCGCUGUCACACCGAGCGUAGUAGCAUACAUCUCGCUCAGGGCGUGCUGCGGGUUCCGGCCGUUAAAAGCCUUUUUUACCCAAGGUUGACCUCGGAUCAGGUAGGAAGACCCGCUGAACUUAAGC